UACGUAGGGUCCGAGCGUUAAUCGGGAUUACUGGGCGUAAAGCGUGCGCAGGCGGUUUUGUAAGCCAGAUGUGAAAGCCCCGGGCUCAACCUGGGAACUGCAUUUGGGACUGCAAGGCUUGAGUACGGCAGAGGGGGGUAGAAUUCCUGGUGUAGCAGUGAAAUGCGUAGAUAUCAGGAGGAAUACCGAUGGCGAAGGCAGCCCCCUGGGUCGAUACUGACGCUCAUGCACGAAAGCGUGGGGAGCAAACAGG
This 253-nucleotide ribosomal RNA is filed under the name uncultured bacterium. Its description in RNAcentral is "partial 16S ribosomal RNA". It matches the Rfam family "Bacterial small subunit ribosomal RNA", at positions 524 to 776 of the family's 1533-position model. The record is from RNAcentral.